AUGUAAAAUAAUGACCAAAGCCAAUCAUCUCGAGACCCUAUAAAUAGCGAUCCAAGGAGAGACCUUUUGAGCUCUUCAGGACUGCAGUGCAGUGGGCUGUGUGACCCAAUAUCUCCCCCUGAGCUGGGAUGCCUCUCAGGGUAGAUUUCGCGAGGACUGAAAGAUCGUCUGUCAACAGUUUCGCGAGGACUUAAAGGCCUGAUUUUGCGAUGUUUACUGACCGUCCGUUGAUGAAUGUUGGCACAUAAAAGUGAGUAAUUCAUGAAACUCAGGAGAGAGAAAUUUUAAUCAUAGGUUAACCUCUGUGUGUGUGUGGGGGGGGAGUAAACUUUGGUUC
Long non-coding RNA from Aquila chrysaetos chrysaetos, 337 nucleotides. RefSeq lists it as uncharacterized. NCBI's taxonomy places the organism in Eukaryota, Metazoa, Chordata, Aves, Accipitriformes, Accipitridae. The transcript is spliced from 3 exons. The record is from RefSeq and is a predicted model, not a curated record.